UGGGGAAUAUUGCACAAUGGGCGAAAGCCUGAUGCAGCAACGCCGCGUGAGUGAUGAAGGCCUUCGGGUUGUAAAGCUCUGUCUUUUGGGACGAUAAUGACGGUACCAAAGGAGGAAGCCACGGCUAACUACGUGCCAGCAGCCGCGGUAAUACGUAGGUGGCAAGCGUUGUCCGGAUUUACUGGGCGUAAAGGAUGCGUAGGCGGAUUUUUAAGUGAGAUGUGAAAACCCUAAGCUUAACUUGGGGGACUGCAUUUCAUACUGGAAAUCUAGAGUGCGGGAGAGGAGAAUGGAAUUCCUAGUGUAGCGGUGAAAUGCGUAGAGAUUAGGAAGAACACCAGUGGCGAAGGCGAUUCCCUGGACCGUAACUGACGCUGAGGCAUGAAAGCGUGGGUAGCAAAACAGGAUUAGAUACCCUGGUAGUCCACGCCGUAAACGAUGAGUACUAGGUGUAGGAGGUAUCGACCCCUUCUGUGCCGCAGUUAACACAAUAAGUACUCCGCCUGGGGAAGUACGAUCGCAAGAUUAAAACUCAAAUGAAUUGACGGGGUC
RNAcentral lists this ribosomal RNA (552 nucleotides) under uncultured bacterium. RNAcentral's name for it is "partial 16S ribosomal RNA". It matches the Rfam family "Bacterial small subunit ribosomal RNA", at positions 355 to 920 of the family's 1533-position model. The record is from RNAcentral.